UACGUAGGGGCCUAGCGUUGUCCGGAAUCAUUGGGCGUAAAGAGCUCGUAGGCGGCUUGGCAAGUCGGGUGUGAAAACUUCAGGCUCAACCUGGAGCGGCCACUCGAUACUGCUAUGGCUUGAGUCCGGUAGGGGACCACGGAAUUCCUGGUGUAGCGGUGAAAUGCGCAGAUAUCAGGAGGAACACCAGUGGCGAAGGCGGUGGUCUGGGCCGGAACUGACGCUGAGGAGCGAAAGCGUGGGUAGCAAACAGG
RNAcentral lists this ribosomal RNA (254 nucleotides) under uncultured bacterium. RNAcentral describes it as "partial 16S ribosomal RNA". It matches the Rfam family "Bacterial small subunit ribosomal RNA", at positions 524 to 776 of the family's 1533-position model. The record is from RNAcentral.